This 628-nucleotide ribosomal RNA is filed under the name uncultured fungus. RNAcentral's name for it is "eukaryotic LSU rRNA". The stretch from base 177 to 330 matches the Rfam family "5.8S ribosomal RNA". Lineage: Eukaryota; Fungi. The record is from RNAcentral.
UCCGUAGGUGAACCUGCGGAAGGAUCACUAAAGUAAACGCCCUCCGGGGCUCUCUUUAUUCACACACCCCUGUGCACUUUGGCCACCUGCCGCGCUUCACUGCGUUAGUAGGUGUGUCUUUAUAAUUAUACCCAUAUACACAAGUCAUUGAAUGUAAAAUCGUUAUAAACUAAUAUAACUUUCAACAACGGAUCUCUUGGUUCUCGCAUCGAUGAAGAACGCAGCGAAUUGCGAUAAGUAAUGUGAAUUGCAGAAUUCAGUGAAUCAUCGAAUCUUUGAACGCAUCUUGCGCUCUUUGGUAUUCCGAAGAGCAUGCCUGUUUGAGUGUCAUGAAACUCUCACCUCCAGCCUUCUUUAAUUAGAGGUGUUGGGGCGUGGACGUGAGUGCUGCUGGUGCCCUGGUUGCAUCGGCUCACUUGAAAUAUGUUAGCUGACUCCUCUAGAGGUGGUUCUACUCGACGUGAUAAGAUCUCCGUCGAGGACAGUGCAACUUGUUGUGCUGGCCGCUUCUAGCAGUUGACGUCGCUUCUAAUUAGCGCAGACUUCGAGUGCUGGCAACUUUUGACAACUUGGCCUCAAAUCAGGUAGGACUACCCACUGAACUUAAGCAUAUCAAUAAGCGGAGGAA